Long non-coding RNA from Cercocebus atys (sooty mangabey), 2065 nucleotides. Lineage: Eukaryota; Metazoa; Chordata; Mammalia; Primates; Cercopithecidae. The record is from Ensembl.
AUGUGCAAAGGAAGAACCUUCCAGAAUCACCCUCAUGUACCCCUAUGCUCUGUACAUACCCAGCGCUCUGCACUGAGGCAGACCCUAAAGCUGCAGUGGGAAUGGAGGUGGAUACACUUAUGGAAAGAAAGACUUCUUCAAAGAAUGGUGGCGACCCAGGUCUCCCCUUCUGCUGUGGCUCUUAGAGGACCUGGAGUUGGAGAGGGGAAGUCACUGGCAUGUGGAGGAAGACUAGGAGAGGAGGGGGAGGCCAAAGUGUGUCCCACCUUCACUCCACCUCUCUGCUCUCUCUCUCCUAUAUUGAGCGCCUCCCUCCCCAGAGUUGUGGUCACUGAUAAGGAGGACCCUGAGGGCAACCACACCUUGCCAUGCAGAGCACCUGGCUUCUCACCUGCCAACCUCACUCUGACCUGGCUGCAGGAAGGGAAGGAGCCAACUCUGGACUCAAGAUUCAAGGGGACCAGACCCAGAGAGAUGAGACAUACCAGGACUGGGCAGCUGUGGGGGUCCUUCCAGAGAGGAGCUGAGAUACACCUACCUGGAGGGGCCCCAGGGCCUGGAGGGGCUCCUCAGUGUGACUGGCCCCAGGCUCUGGCCUCUCUCUCUCCUCUUCUACCCUCUAGCCGGUAAUGACUGAUUUCCCACUGAGGAGCCAGCUCUAGGUGAGAGUCUGGGCUCUCGGUGAGGUUGGGAGAAGGAAAAGGCUUAUGGGCCAGGGGAUGGGAGGGAGAAUGGGCACAGCCAGAGCAGAAGUGAAAGGGUUGGGGGAGGCGAUAAAGACAGAUGUUUCCAUAUCACCAUUUUUCUUUCAUGGUCCAAGGGAGCUGUCCUUCCUCCAGGCCCAGGGAAGUGAAAAAAGAAGCAGGAACAGUGAAAUACGCCACAGGAAAGAAAAAUCUUAGUGAUCCCUCCUGCUGUCUCUCUCCUUUUGUCUAUUCUGGCAAAUUUUGUAAGUGAAAUUUGUUACCAAGAUGUGAAAAUCUUAUUAUAAGAAAGUCUCUAAAUAUUUGAGAAUAAAAUGAUCAAUGUCUCAGCUCUGCAGGCUGAAAAAACAGAAUCUUUACAAAAUAAAAUCAUGUUUGGAAAACUUCUCCUCUGAGGGAUAUCAAAGCCUGCACUGAAUAAGCUCUAAGGAGGUGCUGAAAUGACUGCCAUUUAUUUGCCUGUGUAAGCUCAGGCAGGUGUUGGAAUUGAGGAAGGAUAGGUAAUGAAAAAAGUAACCAUGUGCUUGGGGCACAGUGACGGUGAUGACCACAGAAUCAACACAAUAAGCUCUAGCAUUUGCAUCGUAGUCCAGUUCAUUCAAGCAAAGCUAUCUCCAAUAGGGAAUUUACCCUGUACAGAACAUGUGCAUUUUGAUUUCACCUUUUCUAACUGACCCUUUGCUCAUGACAAUAGUGAAAAAAUACAGCCCUGGGUGGAGAUUUAAGAUACUAACGAGUCAUGAGAUGUAUGAACAUGCAUGUACAGCUACUGCACAUGUGCACCAAGAAGACCACCCAGAACAUGCUCACUAGUAACCCCUCUUCCCACCCACCUCCUACGAAUAAUCAUGUAAGACUCCCAUAAAGGGAGUUUCUCCAGCAGUAAUCAAUGCUGCCUCAUCCAUAGGAGCAGCCCGCCCUGAAUCCUCUCUCUCAGGGUAUACAGUUUAUUUUGCACUUAACUUUCAAAAUAGUAUUUUUCCUUUGUAAUAAAUUGCUUUGUACUUCUCCUUUGCUGCAUGUUUCUUAUUUAAAUUCUUUUAAAUGAAGAAGUCAAAAACCACAGUAUUACAACAGCCGUCAACAUUUCUGGUGCCAUGACUCAGACAGAGGUUUGUAUGCUUCAUUGGUUUCAGUUCCCCUUCACUCCUGGUGAGUGCUGUGGCAGCCCCAGACCCCUGAUUGACUAUCACUGCUUUCCCCAGAUCUAUUCUAUGAAGGUUUUGGGGGAGGACCUUUUAAAUCACUCACAUUAUUUGAGCAAAGAAGGAGCGAAACUUCGUCUCAAAAAUAAAAAUAAAAGAUAAUAAACAAUGCGGCAAAGAAUUAAACUCUUGAUACGAUCCUCACCAUUUUAAGGG